AUCUGACCGUAAACGAUACCAACUAGCGUUCCGCUGGCGGUAAAUACGCCUUGGCGGGCAGCUUUCCGGAAACGAAAGUGUUUCGGUUCCGGGGGAAGUAUGGUUGCAAAGCUGAAACUUAAAGAAAUUGACGGAAGGGCACCACCAGGAGUGGAGCCUGCGGCUUAAUUUGACUCAACACGGGAAAACUCACCUGGCCCGGACACCGUGAGGAUUGACAGAUUGAGAGCUCUUUCUUGAUUCGGUGGUUGGUGGUGCAUGGCCGUUCUUAGUUGGUGGAGUGAUUUGUCUGGUUUAUUCCGAUAACGAGCGAGACUCUAGCCUAUUAAAUAGUCAACGGAUAGAUUGGUCCGUGUCGACUUCUUAGAGGGACAAGCGGUGUUCAGCCGCAUGAAGUUGAGCAAUAACAGGUCUGUGAUGCCCUUAGAUGUCCAGGGCUGCACGCGCGCUACACUGGAGGAAUCAACGUGCCGUAUCCAUUGCCGAAAGGCAUUGGUAACCCCUUGAAAAUCCUCCGUGCUCGGGAUCGGGAAUUGAAAUUAUUUCCCUUGAACGAGGAAUUCCUAGUAAGUGUGAGUCAUCAGCUCACGUUGAUUACGUCCCUGCCCUUUGUACACACCGCCCGUCGCUGCCCGGGACUGAGCCGUUUCGAGAAACGCGGGGACCGAUCACAUGAAAUCUUGACCUCGUGUCUGUUGGAUUGUCGGUCUGGGAACCGCUUUAAUCGCAGUGGCUUGAAACCA
RNAcentral lists this ribosomal RNA (743 nucleotides) under Spirocamallanus daleneae. RNAcentral describes it as "SSU rRNA". It matches the Rfam family "Eukaryotic small subunit ribosomal RNA", at positions 1024 to 1781 of the family's 1831-position model. Lineage: Eukaryota; Metazoa; Nematoda; Chromadorea; Rhabditida; Camallanidae. The record is from RNAcentral.